GCUUGCUCGGGGUGAGUCAGGGCUCUCCUGUCAUCGGGGGCCCCCUCUGGGCUCUGGGAGGCUGCCACUGGAGCCCUGCCUCUUCCUGGCAG
RNAcentral lists this microRNA precursor (92 nucleotides) under Microtus ochrogaster (prairie vole). RNAcentral's name for it is "miRNA (ENSMOCG00000008207.1)". The record is from RNAcentral. Lineage: Eukaryota; Metazoa; Chordata; Mammalia; Rodentia; Cricetidae.